This 468-nucleotide ribosomal RNA is filed under the name uncultured bacterium. RNAcentral describes it as "partial 16S ribosomal RNA". It matches the Rfam family "Bacterial small subunit ribosomal RNA", at positions 28 to 507 of the family's 1533-position model. The record is from RNAcentral.
GACGAACGCUGGCGGCGUGCUUAACACAUGCAAGUCGAACGGAAAGGCCCUGCUUUUGUGGGGUGCUCGAGUGGCGAACGGGUGAGUAACACGUGAGUAACCUGCCCUUGACUUUGGGAUAACUUCAGGAAACUGGGGCUAAUACCGGAUAGGAGCUCCUGCUGCAUGGUGGGGGUUGGAAAGUUUCGGCGGUUGGGGAUGGACUCGCGGCUUUUCAGCUUGUUGGUGGGGUAGUGGCUUACCAAGGCUUUGACGGGUAGCCGGCCUGGGAGGGUGACCGGCCACAUUGGGACUGAGAUACGGCCCAGACUGCUACGGGAGGCAGCAGUGGGGAAUAGUGCACAAUGGGCGGAAGCCGGAUGCAGCAACGCCGCGUGCGGGAUGACGGCCUUCGGGUUGUAAACCGCGUUCGCCUGUGACGAAGCGUGAGUGACGGUAAUGGGUAAAGAAGCACCGGCUAACUACGUG